AACGUAGGUACCGAGCGUUAUCCGGAUUUACUGGGCGUAAAGCGCGUUCAGGCGGUUUGGCAAGUCGGGCGUGAAAUCUCUCGGCUCAACCGGGAGAGGUUGUCCGAUACUGCUGGACUUGAGGGCAGUAGAGGGUGGUGGAAUUCCGGGUGUAGUGGUGAAAUGCGUAGAUAUCCGGAGGAACACCAGUGGCGAAGGCGGCUUUCUGGACAGUUACCGACGCUGAGGCACGAAAGCUAGGGGAGCAAACAGG
Molecule: ribosomal RNA, 253 nt
Filed under: uncultured bacterium
Lineage: Bacteria
Description: partial 16S ribosomal RNA
Rfam family: Bacterial small subunit ribosomal RNA
Source: RNAcentral